UACAGAGGUCUCAAGCGUUGCUCGGAAUCACUGGGCGUAAAGGGUGCGUAGGCGGGUUUUUAAGUCAGGGGUGAAAUCCUGGAGCUCAACUCCAGAACUGCCUUUGAUACUGAAGAUCUUGAGUCCGGGAGAGGUGAGUGGAACUGCGAGUGUAGAGGUGAAAUUCGUAGAUAUUCGCAAGAACACCAGUGGCGAAGGCGGCUCACUGGCCCGGUACUGACGCUGAGGCACGAAAGCGUGGGGAGCAAACAGG
Molecule: ribosomal RNA, 253 nt
Filed under: uncultured bacterium
Lineage: Bacteria
Description: partial 16S ribosomal RNA
Rfam family: Bacterial small subunit ribosomal RNA
Source: RNAcentral